Small nuclear RNA from Oryctolagus cuniculus (rabbit), 136 nucleotides. Its record names the gene U2. It matches the Rfam family "U2 spliceosomal RNA". From Rfam's summary of the family: U2 is a small nuclear RNA (snRNA) component of the spliceosome (involved in pre-mRNA splicing). Complementary binding between U2 snRNA (in an area lying towards the 5' end but 3' to hairpin I) and the branchpoint sequence (BPS) of the intron results the bulging out of an unpaired adenosine, on the BPS, which initiates a nucleophilic attack at the intronic 5' splice site, thus starting the first of two transesterification reactions that mediate splicing. The record is from Ensembl. Lineage: Eukaryota; Metazoa; Chordata; Mammalia; Lagomorpha; Leporidae.
UUCUUUAUCUCAGCCUUUUGGCUAAGAACAAGUGUAGUAUACGUUCUUAUCAGUUUAAUAUUUUCUUUAUCCAUUCAGCCUUCAAUGGACACCUACAUUGAUUCCAUAUCUUGGUUAUUAUGAAUAGUGAUGCAAU